This is a long non-coding RNA of Equus asinus (donkey), 3080 nucleotides long. The record is from Ensembl. Lineage: Eukaryota; Metazoa; Chordata; Mammalia; Perissodactyla; Equidae.
UUUUUCUUCUUGAUUUCCUCUUUCGUCUCCAGUUCUGCAACAAAUCUAAGCAGUUGUCCCUGCAGUUAGUUCCCAGAAGUUGAGCAGAGAGGAGAGUUCCAUCCAGAUUUGGUUUACUCUUAUCCUGAGAGAUCCUGAGGGGCUCCAGCCUAAUGUAGGAUUGAUCUCCCUCAGAGUUUCUCACCUGGCUGGUCUCUGGGCCUCCACUUCAGCCUCUGUGGCCUUUGCAUAGCCCUGGCACCCAAGCUCAGGGGUUUGUAGUAUACUUAGAUGCCUUCAGGACAAAGCAACUGUAGUAAUAAAAUAUAUUUUGGUUACAGAAAAUCCAACAUUUCCCAUUGUCUAUCUUUUCAGAGCUUGAAUGCUUUUAAGGACACACACACACACACACACACACGAUGUGUGUGUGUGUAUUUAACAGAGAGGCUCUUUGUUAGGUUGUCUUGUGUUGGUUGCAGCUUGUGUAAGAGAAUGCUACUGAUUUUGAAAAAUGUUUUAUAUUUCAACAGGUUUCUGAAUACAUACCGGAAAUUGCAAUUUCUAAAUUUAUGUGUAUGUCUUUCAUAGUCAAACAGUCACAUUUUCUGAUGCUAUUUUUGACUCUUUCUUUAAAUUACAUACUUCCACAACCACUGCUAUGAUUUACUUUCAUAAUCACUGUUUAUUUGCAUGUUCUCCUCUGGGCCCUGUCUUGUUGCCGAGAGAUUUGCAAAUGUGUUAUUUCUCUCCAAAAUGUGCACUGAGCUGCAUCAGACAGUGCAACGGCAGAAUGAUGAUAUCACAGGCCAAGCUCCUCAAGUUUUUGCUGCUCUGCAUUUCAGGUGCCUGUGGGGACAUCAUGAUGAUCCAGGUUUCCCAGUUCUUGGCUGUUUCUGAAAGAGAGAGAUUCACCAUCAACUGUUGAGUCCAGCCAGAGCAUUAGCAACUGCUUAGCCUGCUACCAGAAGAAACCAGGACAGAAUCCUAAGCUGCUUAGCUCCUCAGCAUCCACCCUGGCAACUGGGGUCCCUGACUGACUCAGUGGCAGUGGAUCUGCAACUGAUUUCACUCUCACCACCAGCAGCCUGUAGGCUGAAGAUGUAGCCAAGUUUUACUGUCAGCAUUGUUAUAGCUUUCCUCUCACAGUGCUUCAGCCUUGGACACAAACUUCCUCAGGUCUGCUUGUUAGCUUGUCAGCCAGUAUCUAAAGCACCAGCUGCUUCCUCCCCUUGCAGCCCUGGACUUGUGCACUUUCUCUGUCUGCCAGAGAAGCUGUGUGUCCUGACUCACUUAUGGGAUGGUUUGCAGGGCUCAGGAGGUAACUGAGUCUCUUUGACACCCUGUUGUGGAAGGUCCCUACUGGAAAAUGCCGUUAAGACCUCGGUGUUAGUUUUCUAUAGCUGCUGUAACAAAUUACCAUAAACUUAGUGGCUUAAACGUUAGAAACAUAUCAGUUCACAGUUCUGGUGGUCAAAAGACCAAAAAGGGUCUCACUGGACUAAGCCAUUGGCAAGGCUGCUUUCUCUUCUAGAAGCUCUAGGAGAGAAUCUGUUUUCUCGCCUUUUCCUGUUCCUAGAGGCCUCUCAAAUUCCUUAACGAGUGGCCCCCUUCCUCCAUGUUUAAAGCCAACAACAUUGCAUCUUUCUGACCCUCCAUCUAUAGUCCUGUCUUUCCCUGAUCUCAGCCAGAAGAGAUUCUCUGCUUUUAAGGAUUUAUAUAAUUAGAUUGGGUCCACCCAGAUAAUCCAGGAGAAUCUCCUCAUCUCAAAAUCUUUACCCUUAAUCACAUCUUCAAAGUUCCUUUUGCCACCCUAUGAGGUAAUAUACUACCAGGUUCUAGAGUUUAGGAACUGGACAGCCUUGGGGGCCAUUAUCUUGUCUUCCUACAGCCUCUUUUGGACUCUUCUCUUAUGUCGUCAGGAACUUUGUCAGCAUAUUUUAUUCAGUUAGAAGCACAGGGCUGAACCCAGUCAGGCUCCAGCUCAACUCACUGGUUUAUAAGAUCCAAUGAGACUUAUGCCCUGAUGAAUCAUUAUACCCUGAUGAAUCACUUCCCAGUGACUUCUUGCCUCAAAAUUUCCCUAUUUAAUUCCUUCUCAGGCUCCUUUCUUUCCUCUUUUCCUUGCUAUUAUAGAAAUCUUGGAGCUUCAGCUUCAAAACGUCCACCACUGACCCAGAUCUGCCUCUCGUCGUCCCUCCCUUUCGACCCUUUUUUGCCAUGCCGGCCUUUUGCUUAAUGACUUCUGAUUGUGCUUUUUGUAGUCCUACCUCAGUUUCUUUGCUUAGUACUGCUUUUAGCUUGAAAGCAAAAGAACGUGAAAAAAAAGGAAAAUGAUUCCAUGAGUCAUAUUUGUUCUUUUAAAAACAAUUCUCUAAUUCUGUAAUCCUAUGUAUCAUUGGGUACAGAUUGCCCCAUGAUCUUAAUUCUUCAGGUAUCAUAUUUUUUCUCUCAGCUCUGAUGUUUCAUGUCCAAGUGACCUUGAGUAAGUUACUUAACUCCUCAGUGACAAGAUUUUCUUACACGUAAAAUGGAUAUAAUAAUUGUAUCUCUUUUUUUUUAAUGAUUUUCUUUUUUUCCUUUUUCUCCCCAAAGCCCCCCAGUACAUAGUUGUAUAUUCUUUGCUGUGGGUUCUUCUAGUUGUGGCAUAUGGGACGCUGCCCCAGCGUGGUUCGAUGAGCAGUGCCAUGUCCGCGCCCAGGAUUCAAACCAACGAAACACUGGGCUACCCGCAGCGGAGCGCGCGAACUCAACCGCUCGGCCACGGGGCCAGCCCAAUUGUCUCUCUUUUUAAUGAAUGCCUGGUACAUAGAAAACACUUGGGCACCAUCAUCAUUGUCAUCUUUCACGAGUGGCUCUUUCUUCCAUGUUUAUUACCAUCUUCAAUUUUUAUCACACUAAGAAAUAUACUCUCAAACCUCAUGAAUCUUCCAGCUACCGAUUUAACUCGGAAGCUGGAAGUUUAACAUUUGUUGCUUCCAUUUCUUUGUCUGCUCUUCUCUUGAAUACUUUGCACAGUCUUGACUUUCAACCCACCUCACAUUGAAAGUCAGCCAUGAAUCUUGAAUAAUUUUCAGAUUUAAUAGGCAUUUUUUAGUCAUUAG